RNAcentral lists this ribosomal RNA (863 nucleotides) under Plesiomonas shigelloides. Its description in RNAcentral is "bacterial SSU rRNA". It matches the Rfam family "Bacterial small subunit ribosomal RNA", at positions 19 to 872 of the family's 1533-position model. Lineage: Bacteria; Pseudomonadati; Pseudomonadota; Gammaproteobacteria; Enterobacterales; Enterobacteriaceae. The record is from RNAcentral.
AUGACUCAGAUUGAACGCUGGCGGCAGGCCUAACACAUGCAAGUCGAGCGGUAACACAGAGGAGCUUGCUCCUUGGGUGACGAGCGGCGGACGGGUGAGUAAUGCCUGGGGAUCUGCCCGAUAGAGGGGGAUAACUACGGGAAACUGUAGCUAAUACCGCAUAAUGUCUACGGACCAAAGUGGGGGCUCUUCGGACCUCAUGCUAUCGGAUGAACCCAGGUGGGAUUAGCUAGUUGGUGAGGUAAUGGCUCACCAAGGCGACGAUCUCUAACUGGUUUGAGAGAAUGACCAGUCACACUGGAACUGAGACACGGUCCAGACUCCUACGGGAGGCAGCAGUGGGGAAUAUUGCACAAUGGGCGCAAGCCUGAUGCAGCCAUGCCGCGUGUGUGAAGAAGGCCUUCGGGUUGUAAAGCACUUUCAGCGGGGAGGAAGGGUCACUAGUUAAUACCUAGUGGCAUUGACGUUACUCGCAGAAGAAGCACCGGCUAACUCCGUGCCAGCAGCCGCGGUAAUACGGAGGGUGCAAGCGUUAAUCGGAAUUACUGGGCGUAAAGCGCACGCAGGCGGUUUGUUAAGUCAGAUGUGAAAUCCCCGAGCUCAACUUGGGAACUGCAUUUGAAACUGGCAAGCUAGAGUCUUGUAGAGGGGGGUAGAAUUCCAGGUGUAGCGGUGAAAUGCGUAGAGAUCUGGAGGAAUACCGGUGGCGAAGGCGGCCCCCUGGACAAAGACUGACGCUCAGGUGCGAAAGCGUGGGGAGCAAACAGGAUAAGAUACCCUGGUAGUCCACGCUGUAAACGAUGUCGAUUANGAGGUUGUGCCCUUGAGGCGUGGCUUCCGGAGCUAACGCGUAAAUCGACCGC